AUGAAACACUGGCUGACAAACAUCCUGAUUCUGACUCUCUGGAAAGAGUGUAAAGGACAAGACAGAGUGAUCCAGCAUGGAGGAGAUGUUAUUGCUACUGAAGGAGAGACACUUACACUUGAUUGUACAUUUGAAACCACCAGCAACAACGCCUAUUUGUUCUGGUACAAACAAGAGAUGAAUGAUUUCCCCAAGUUUAUGCUGCAGCGCUACACCUUUGGAUCAGAAUAUAAUGCUGAAGAGUUCCCCAAAGAGAAAUUUGAUGCUCAAAUCAUCAACACAUCAGUUCCUCUGAGGAUCCAGAAGCUGCAGCCGUCAGACUCUGCUCUGUACUACUGUUCGCCUCGGUCUGGUAGAGAGCGGGGCAACUGUAUCAAGGAGACUGGAGAGGGCCACAUUGAGGGAACUAGUAAGGUUUUCAACAGAGCCUGUCUCUACAGUGAGAGGAGCCAAAACUCCAGGCAACUGCUGGCUAAACGCAGCAACAGCAGAGGGACCAAUAUGGCGACUAGUGAUUACAUCUGUGCCACCACUAACAGGACAGGCCAGUGA
This is a non-coding RNA of Myripristis murdjan (pinecone soldierfish), 552 nucleotides long. NCBI's taxonomy places the organism in Eukaryota, Metazoa, Chordata, Actinopteri, Holocentriformes, Holocentridae. The record is from the annotation of a RefSeq genome assembly.